GAGGGGCCUUGAAGAGGUGCUUGGAUUGCAGGACCAGGCCCUAGUCAAUGGAUUAAUAAUGGGGGUCAGGGGUUAGGCCUGAGGGCUUUAAGAGGACAGUGAAUAAGCAGGUCUCUCUCUCUCUGCCCAGCCAUUUCUGCCAAGUGAGACGCUGCAUUGCUGUAAAGCCACCACCAAAGAAGACUGGCCAGGUGUGUUCCCUGGACUUUGGACUUCCUAGCCUCUGACACUGAGCACAGUGGCUCUGAGGCCAGCCAGGAGAGGCGGUCAUUGCAAGAGCACCUGAGCAGCAGUGCAGCUGGGAGCUCCCGCAUCUGUGACAAGACUGCAGGGGGCCAGCCUGCAGGAAGCUGGAUCUGGAAGAGAUCUCUAGGACCCCAGACCCAGGAAGCUUCUCGUGUGUUUAGUUUCUUGUUUAUUUUAAUUAACAUUUAUUAUUAAAUAAAACACAGAUACAGAAAGCCACACAAGACGAAUAAGCAGCUCACUGAAUUAUUACAGGAGGAAACUGUCAUCACGUCACCCUGGUCAAGACACAGAGCUGGGCCCCUCCACGGCCGUCCCUGCCUCCCCCAGGGGUGUCACUGUCAUGACGUGGGUAGCCCUCACUUCCUGUGCUUCUUUAGAGUCGGAUCCCACCAUGGUAUUUACAUGCUAGCUGAAAUAGUUUCAUGUGAAGAUGCUCCGCUCGUCCCCUGCUGGGUGGCCGGGAGGCCCAGCCACAGAGACGAGGCAGGAUAAAUGUCCGGUACUUUCCUUUUAUUUACCAGUUUUCAGGAUAAUGAAUUCUUCCCUGUUAUCCUCUGAAGGUGACCAGUUAUUUUAAAAAUAUCAUUAUGAAUGGAAAAAUCCAAGCAAGUGUGAUCACUUUCAAGACACCGCGGUUCUUCUGCUGUGGUCCCAAGUGUCCGACGAGCUCUGUGCCGUUUGCUGCGACAAGACUCUGAGCUCAUUUUGUGCUCUCCCUGACCUGUGCUGCAGACGGCCACUUCAGGGACUUCUUUCAUUGGGAACUGGCAUUUCAAGAUCAGAGUGUGGGUGAUAAGGAUCAUCGAUCCUGGGUGGUCCUUGUUUCCAGGCCUUUUCGGUGAGUGGAGGCAGGAUAUAUUUGAAAUAAAAUGCCUCUGAGUUCAUGCUGA
Molecule: long non-coding RNA, 1139 nt
Organism: Galeopterus variegatus (Sunda flying lemur)
Lineage: Eukaryota; Metazoa; Chordata; Mammalia; Dermoptera; Cynocephalidae
Exons: 2
Source: RefSeq, a predicted model, not a curated record